CAAAAGCUUGAGAGGCAGAAUAGCUCCCUUAGCUUAUGGAUUGGAGUCUGCUCCUGAGGAAGAAGGUGUGGAUCUUGGAGCAGGAAUAUGAUUCUGGGAAAACCGGUCUAUAAGAAGAAGGAUAUUUGGAUCUGUCUACAGAGAAAGAAAGAGAUGCAUGCAAGCCUGAGGAUUCUGUGGGAAUCACUUUGAUUCAUGGUGGGAUUGGAUGUAUCACAGAGACCCUACUACACUCAAGAGCUUCUGAAGAGGACGAGCCAUAGCCACACACCCUGUCUACUCUGUGAAACAUGCAGAUGCUUAAAACUUCUGGAGUCGGGAGAUUGUUUAAUGUGCACCAAGCACCAUCAAAAGUACAACAAAGCACCCGCUUGCUGCACAGUGAUGCUUGAGGAACGACUUCCGUCAGGAUGUCCCUCCCCAGGGAAUAUAGUCAGCACCAUUCUGAUUUUCCUUCUGGAACCGCAUCGCCUGCUGGGUAAUCAGUUUGUGCGCGCUGCAAGGGAAGACCUCAGCAAAAGGAGUCCAGUGCAGCUAAGAUGCAGUGUGACCGGCUGCCUAAUGUUCCUACUGCCAUGCCUCCCUUGCCAUGGUGGAUUGUAUCCUUUCUUGAAUGGUGACAGCAGAUACUGGCAAGGAUGUGGAGAAAGAGGAAUACUUCUCCAUUGCUGGUGGGAUUGCAAGCUUGUGCAGCCACUCUGGAAAUCAGUCUGGCUGUUUCUCAGAAAAUUGGACAUAGUACUACUGGAAGAUCCAGCAAUUCCUCUCCUGCGCAUAUACCCAGAAGAUGUUCCAACUGGUAAUAAGGACACAUGCUCCACUGUGUUCAUAGCAGUCUUAUUUAUAAUAGCCAGACGCUGGAAAGAACCCAGAUGUUCCUCAACAGAGGAAUGGAUACAGAAAAUGUGGUACAUUUACACAAUGGAGUACUACUCAGCUCUUAAAAACAAUGAAUUUAUGAAAUUCUUGGGCAAAUGGAUGUAUUUGGAGGAUAAUUUUAUUGUUUGUUGAUACUGUUGGUAGGGUUUGUUGUUUUUGUUGUUGCUGCUAUUGUUGCUGUUUUCUAUGUGUGUGUUUGUGUGUGUGUGUUUUCCUUAUUUGGCUGGUUAGUUUUAGUACCAGGGUCUUGCUAUGUAGCUGAGCAUGACUUUGUCUCACCUUUACCUUCUGGUGGGUUGAAUUACAGAAUUACGUAAUUCUGAGGAUCAAAUAUGUGGCCUUGAUAAUGGCAUCCUGACUUUGCCAAUUGUCUUAAAAUAUUUGUCCAUUUGUUUCUUAAUGGCUACAUUUUAUUGGUCUUUCCCAUCAUUCUACUUUCAUUACUUAUUCUAAUAACUGGGCAGUGGUGGCUCAUGCCUUUAAUCUCAGCACUUGGGAGGGAGAGGCAGGCAGAUUUAUGAGUUCAAGGACAGCCUGGUCUACAGAGUGAGUUCCAGGACAGCCAGGGUUAGACAAAGAAGCCUUGCCCACCCACACCCCUGAAUAAACAAACAAACAAAAUAAUUCAGAAUAUAACUAUCCAUUUUGUUCUGCAAUAUUAAAGUGGUACAUCUUGUUGGCCCAUUCACAUAUUUUUCCAUCCCUCCAUUGCUGGCUCAGUUCUCUUUCCCACAAGCAUUCCUGACCCCAUCAGAACUUUCACACCAGGCACUUUCAAAUUUUAUUUCCUAUUAUGUUAUUGUUUGUGGUCAUUCACUUUACUGAUAGCCUGUGAAGUUAUAUGUGUUCUCAUUCCUUGCACACUUACAUGGAAAAUUCCCAUUCUAGAUAAACAGACCCAGAAAUAUGGAAAAAAAUCAAGUCCAUCUUUCUACAUAACCAUUGCAACUUCUGACUUUAGUUUCACACUUAAUUUCAGAAAGGGUUGCUUGAAUUUGCUGUUCCUACUUCUUUCUCUCUCGUUCAUGGAAUGAUGUCCUAUAUUGUGCAUUUCUGCCCUACUCUAUUACAAAGCUUUGUUGCAAAGGUAGCUAGCUAAUGAUGCACUCCUUUAAUAUGAGAGAUAAUCUCAAGGUUCAGUGUAUACUGUAGUACCUCUUUAGAAAUAUUGUCUCCCCCCUUGCUUUCCAUAGCAUCUUUUCAAUCCAUAUAUCUCCUAUCACUUUGUCUAUUCCUUCUCAGCCUCCUUCCUGGCUGCUCUUCUCCCUGAUAACUAAAGAAUGGCACCACUCACAGUGUUCUCUGUUCAGGACUUUAUCUUCUAUUUCUCUGUCCCAUCUUCUUUCACAAACUCAUUUACCAUCUUUGCUUCAGUUACUCUCUAGAAGUCAGUGAUUACAAAGUUAUUCAUUUGGCCCAGAUUUUUGAGGUUCAGGCUGCCAAUGAGACACUCUUAUAAAUCUAUCUAUUGUGGUUAACUUAAAGCCAUUUGGGGAUGAACAUAACUGGAAACAUCACAAGCCAGACUCAGAAGAAUCAUUCUUGGACCUCCUUGUUCACAUUUUUAUUGGCUCCACCCAAUUGUUUUCUGGAGCCAUACUAGAAUUCUUAUAUUUGCCUCCAUCUCAUUCUUAGGCCUAUACAUAUGUAUUCUCUUCUUACUUCUGAUUUGACGUAAAAAUUUCCAAUUUUGUCUUUGGAUAUCCUCCCUUCCUUUUCACAUCCAUCAACCAACUACAGGUAUUAUUAACAGUAGCCAUUGCACUUAGAUGGGAUAUCUGCUUUCUUCCAUUUGUGACUUUCCUUUCUGCCUUGCACUGGUCUGAUCCUGAUUCAUUCUUUUCUCCCUAUGCCGCAGUUACUACACUGUCUGCUUUUUAGUUCCUCAAAGGUGACAGCUAGUUCUCCAUCUCAGGAAAUUGGCUAUGCACUUUUGCUUUCUAAAUUCAAAUUCUGCUAUUGCUGAAUCUCAAUCUUUACAUUACCAUUUCCUCCUUACCUAGAUGAUAUUUGGAAGAUUUCCUGUCACAUGUAAGAUUUGGGGAAACCUGUGCCUUUCUUCUUAGAACACUCAGAUGAACUUGCAAUGACAGCAGAGUGUAGGUGUAAACUUCACGAUCCCUGUCACCCACCAACAAGAUUCUUGGAGCAGAAAUAUUAGCUAAGUAAAGAGUGUGGUUUAUAUUAAACUCCACUAACUAAGGACAAAAGUUAUUUUCCUCAAGCGUGUCCUUUGCUGCCAUUAUUUGUAUCAAUUUUAGUUUAUGCCUAAGAAAUUAUUACAGUGAUGCAUCCCAAAUCAGACUUCCACACUUCCUAAUGACACCACAUACUAUAUAGUAUUGAUGGUGGCAGAAAAGUGCAUCAAGCCUCAAAACAAAGGUUCAAGAAGUACAGUUCGAUGUUUUCUCUACUUUCUAAUAAGGGAAGAGGUCAAGUCAUGAAACGAAAUUUAAAUGACAAUAGAAGAAUAUGAGAAGCCUCAAAACAAGCUCAACCUCAUUCUGAAAGAAAAGUUCACACUCUCAGAUGGGCAGACGUAUCCCACCACGCUGCACCUCACUCCCUUUUCCACACAGUAACAUUAUAAUAGCCAGAGGGAACUGGGCAGAGGGUAGCUUUGCUGUGUGUUUCAAGAUCCUUCUAUCUCAAGAAGGAAAUCUGGUGUGUGCCUCUGAAUGAUGGGGCCUGCAUUGCAUGCCUCUCAGAUAACUAACUGGAAACAUGUACUCAUAAAUAUUAGGACCUGUUGUAUUGAUUCACAAGGCCAUAUUUAGAAAACAAACACACUUCUGAUUAGAAAUGAUCACACAGCUGGUCCUAAACAGGUGGCUAUCAGAGGAAUCUGUGGAUAUUUAUGACUUUAGAGGGGCAAGCUUUGUCUCUUAAGAAGUCUCAACUGUUCUUGGAGUAAAGCGAUUUAAAGGCAGCGUUUGCUUGACUUCUUGCUGGUUUGUUGACCUAUUCUACUCAAAAUACCAAAUGACACAUUCCAUUUCUUUCUACCUUAAAUGUAUAUCACACUUUACACAAGGGAGGGGGGAUACGUCUCUAGCUAAUUUUCCUUAAACAAUGUAAAUGCUGAAUUCUGUCAAUAAAAAUCUUUAUGAUCAAAUGGCUACUAAAAAUCUAGAGAUGGCAAAACAGUUAGGAGCAUAUAUGACUCUCUCAGAGACUUGAGCUUGACUCAGAAAAACCGAUGUUGAGUGGCUAACAAUUGCCUGUAAUUUAAACCCCAGAGGUUCAGCGGCUCUCAUUCCUCCUUUGGCUCCUGCAGGCACCCAUACUCCCAUGUACAAUGGUCCCUCCUCACACAUAGACACACAUGAUUAAAACAGGGAAGAUAGAUCUUUAUAAAGGGGCAAGUAAAAUGAAUCUAUUCCUUAACGAUAUAGUUUUUCUGCCUUUCGACUUUUCUUAUUGACACCUGCUUAAUCUGUAACAAUCUGAUUAUUCAUUUCUCCUCCCCUCCUUUUCGAAAUGAUUAGGCUGCCUGCAGUACUUCUUUCCAAAAUCAAAUCUAUUCCAAGUUGAUUAGCUUGGCUCUAUCCACCGGCAAUACUGAAAGUGACAUAUACCAUAUUUCUUCAAGAUAGUAGUGAACCUAGGCUCCACAUAUCUGCCAGAGCCCUCGUGUGCUUGACUUCAUAAUGGUAUUUUUAGUUUCUAGUAAUUUGGAAAAAGGUGAUGGGUGAUAAAGUCAGAAAUAAAGUGUAACAAUAUGGUAUCCAGCUCCAUCUAUAUAUAACACCUAGGAAAUGUAUAGAAAAGUGAAUUUCCAUUCCAAUAACACCUGUGACAUUUAGACAUUGUAUAGGAUUUCUGCUUUCAGUCUAUGCCUGUAUCAUAUGCAUGAACUAGUUUUCUCUAAAUUUAGUCAGAGACCUUCAGCUAGUCAGACACUCAGAGGGUAUAUGGUGCAGUGAAUCAUAAAUGUCUGUGCAUUUAUAGCUUCUGUAAUUCUUGUUGGUAAAUGGGUUAAUAAAAUCAGUAUCAUAUUUGGAAAAACUUAGAAACCUCAAACCAUGAAACUCAAUGGAAACUUUAGUUAUAUAAGACUUUCACUUUACAAUGCAGUUGUCAUUCUUGGUCCUGACUAUGGUUUAUAUAUUAUAUCUUCUGGGGUAGGCUUGCAUUUAUGAACUUGGAGAUAAUUUUCUCAUGAAUACAGUAAAUAUCUUUGAUUUCCAUUUAAUGAUCUAGCCAAAACAUGGCAGAAGUUCCUUCAUAUCGUUCACCAACCAUUGUUCUAGAUGUCUCUCCUGGCAACAUUCCAUUUAGGAAGCAAAGCUAUUUUACAUUUUAUACUUCUUCUAUAUAAAAUACUAGUAACGUGUUAAAAGCUCUCAAACCCCUUGGCAACUGUACUCUUGGUAAUAGCUAUAUUUAAAAAAUUAAAAAUAAACAUUAUGAUGAUUU
This is a long non-coding RNA of Mus musculus (house mouse), 5298 nucleotides long. RefSeq annotates it as RIKEN cDNA 4930555F03 gene. The record is from RefSeq and is a predicted model, not a curated record. Lineage: Eukaryota; Metazoa; Chordata; Mammalia; Rodentia; Muridae. The transcript is spliced from 8 exons.